GCCGGAAUUGCUAGUAAUGGCAGGUCAGCAUACUGCCGUGAAUACGUUCCCGGGCCUUGUACACACCGCCCGUCACACCAUGAGAGUUGGGAAUACCCGAAGCCUGUGAGCUAACUAUAUGAGGCAGCAGUCGAAGGUAGAAUCAAUGAUUGGGGUGAAGUCGUAACAAGGUAAC
This 175-nucleotide ribosomal RNA is filed under the name uncultured bacterium. RNAcentral describes it as "partial 16S ribosomal RNA". It matches the Rfam family "Bacterial small subunit ribosomal RNA", at positions 1325 to 1500 of the family's 1533-position model. The record is from RNAcentral.